Molecule: ribosomal RNA, 253 nt
Filed under: uncultured bacterium
Lineage: Bacteria
Description: partial 16S ribosomal RNA
Rfam family: Bacterial small subunit ribosomal RNA
Source: RNAcentral
UACGUAGGGGGCAAGCGUUGUCCGGAUUUAUUGGGCGUAAAGCGCACGCAGGCGGUCUCUUAAGUUUCGAGUGACAGGUCAGGGCUUAACCCUGGCAGGCCUUGGAAAACUGGGGGACUUGAGGGCUUCAGAGGGACGCGGAAUUCCAGGUGGAGCGGUGAAAUGCGUAGAGAUCUAUCGGAACGCCGAUGGUGAAGACAGCCAGCUGGGGCUUUCCUGACGCUGAGGAGCGAAAGCGUGGGGAGCGAACAGG